RNAcentral lists this long non-coding RNA (262 nucleotides) under Homo sapiens (human). Its description in RNAcentral is "HSALNT0244118". The record is from RNAcentral. Lineage: Eukaryota; Metazoa; Chordata; Mammalia; Primates; Hominidae.
CCUUUGUGUCUCGCGCGGAGCCAGCGCCGCGCCCACCGUACCUUCGAUGCAGCACACCCGCCACAGACCAGAGUGGGUGAGGUCGCCGCGGGCGCGGCGGGGCGGGGGCCCGUCGUCCAUGGUCAGGUUGGUGCCGUUGCAGAUGUGCGCGCUGGAGUACAGCCAGUAGUCGGUGCCGAUGGCGAUGGCCAUGAGCGAGAAGGCGGCGAAGGCUCCGGCCGUGGUCAGCAGCAUCUGCAGCCCGCGGUCGCAUCGCACCAUG